UAGCUCAGUUAGUUGAGCGUGGCGCUAACAACGCCAAGGUCACGGGUUCAAUUCCUGU
RNAcentral lists this transfer RNA (58 nucleotides) under Apaloderma vittatum (bar-tailed trogon). It matches the Rfam family "tRNA", at positions 8 to 63 of the family's 71-position model. From Rfam's summary of the family: Transfer RNA (tRNA) molecules are approximately 80 nucleotides in length. Their secondary structure includes four short double-helical elements and three loops (D, anti-codon, and T loops). Further hydrogen bonds mediate the characteristic L-shaped molecular structure. tRNAs have two regions of fundamental functional importance: the anti-codon, which is responsible for specific mRNA codon recognition, and the 3' end, to which the tRNAs corresponding amino acid is attached (by aminoacyl-tRNA synthetases). tRNAs cope with the degeneracy of the genetic code in two manners: having more than one tRNA (with a specific anti-codon) for a particular amino acid; and 'wobble' base-pairing, i.e. permitting non-standard base-pairing at the 3rd anti-codon position. The record is from Rfam by way of RNAcentral. Lineage: Eukaryota; Metazoa; Chordata; Aves; Trogoniformes; Trogonidae.